Molecule: non-coding RNA, 61 nt
Organism: Rhizobium sp. AC27/96
Lineage: Bacteria; Pseudomonadati; Pseudomonadota; Alphaproteobacteria; Hyphomicrobiales; Rhizobiaceae
Source: Rfam
CCGCUGGUCCGGGCCCCUCUGGUGAGAGCCGUCGGCGCUCUUGCGAUGUCGGACCUUUUCC